CGAUACGAAACUUUAUCCACCUUCCAAAAGUGACUGUGAAACCAUGCAAGUAGAAGUUGUGCACAUCCGAUAAAUCUACCUUCACCCGUCUUUUGGCAUGCACUCAAUGACCUGAAGGUUUCUGCCAAAAUUGUCGGAAUCGGUGUAACCUUCUUAUCAAGCCGAUCAAAUAAAUCGGCGACUGCUUCGUCCACAUGCCCCAAGGCUUUAGGGAAGACAACCAAGC
This 226-nucleotide long non-coding RNA is filed under the name Gossypium raimondii (Peruvian cotton). RNAcentral's name for it is "long non-coding RNA (GRAI_LNC006309)". The record is from RNAcentral. Lineage: Eukaryota; Viridiplantae; Streptophyta; Magnoliopsida; Malvales; Malvaceae.